Molecule: ribosomal RNA, 1099 nt
Filed under: Campylobacter jejuni
Lineage: Bacteria; Pseudomonadati; Campylobacterota; Epsilonproteobacteria; Campylobacterales; Campylobacteraceae
Description: bacterial SSU rRNA
Rfam family: Bacterial small subunit ribosomal RNA
Source: RNAcentral
UUCGGAGCGUAAACUCCUUUUCUUAGGGAAGAAUUCUGACGGUACCUAAGGAAUAAGCACCGGCUAACUCCGUGCCAGCAGCCGCGGUAAUACGGAGGGUGCAAGCGUUACUCGGAAUCACUGGGCGUAAAGGGCGCGUAGGCGGAUUAUCAAGUCUCUUGUGAAAUCUAAUGGCUUAACCAUUAAACUGCUUGGGAAACUGAUAGUCUAGAGUGAGGGAGAGGCAGAUGGAAUUGGUGGUGUAGGGGUAAAAUCCGUAGAUAUCACCAAGAAUACCCAUUGCGAAGGCGAUCUGCUGGAACUCAACUGACGCUAAGGCGCGAAAGCGUGGGGAGCAAACAGGAUUAGAUACCCUGGUAGUCCACGCCCUAAACGAUGUACACUAGUUGUUGGGGUGCUAGUCAUCUCAGUAAUGCAGCUAACGCAUUAAGUGUACCGCCUGGGGAGUACGGUCGCAAGAUUAAAACUCAAAGGAAUAGACGGGGACCCGCACAAGCGGUGGAGCAUGUGGUUUAAUUCGAAGAUACGCGAAGAACCUUACCUGGGCUUGAUAUCCUAAGAACCUUUUAGAGAUAAGAGGGUGCUAGCUUGCUAGAACUUAGAGACAGGUGCUGCACGGCUGUCGUCAGCUCGUGUCGUGAGAUGUUGGGUUAAGUCCCGCAACGAGCGCAACCCACGUAUUUAGUUGCUAACGGUUCGGCCGAGCACUCUAAAUAGACUGCCUUCGUAAGGAGGAGGAAGGUGUGGACGACGUCAAGUCAUCAUGGCCCUUAUGCCCAGGGCGACACACGUGCUACAAUGGCAUAUACAAUGAGACGCAAUACCGCGAGGUGGAGCAAAUCUAUAAAAUAUGUCCCAGUUCGGAUUGUUCUCUGCAACUCGAGAGCAUGAAGCCGGAAUCGCUAGUAAUCGUAGAUCAGCCAUGCUACGGUGAAUACGUUCCCGGGUCUUGUACUCACCGCCCGUCACACCAUGGGAGUUGAUUUCACUCGAAGCCGGAAUACUAAACUAGUUACCGUCCACAGUGGAAUCAGCGACUGGGGUGAAGUCGUAACAAGGUAACCGUAGGAGAACCUGCGGUUGGAUCACCUCCUUUCUA